CCAAAGGCCCUUUUCAGGGCCACAACCUUUUCACUUCAAGGAGCUG
Non-coding RNA from Rattus norvegicus (Norway rat), 46 nucleotides. Lineage: Eukaryota; Metazoa; Chordata; Mammalia; Rodentia; Muridae. The record is from Rfam.